CUGAUGUAAGAAGGUUGUAUAAUAUCUCUCCCCAGAGAGCAAAUAACAGGAAGCAAGGUAUAUAUAGCACAACCCUCAUGAAUCAAACAUUGAGAACCAUACAGAAGUGGGAAGACUUCUCACCAGCAAUGACGGGGACUUUUUUCACUCCAUUCUUCCUUGGUAAUUUGCCCACUAUAUUAUAUGCAGACUUUAUUUAGUUUUGCUUUAAAAUUUAAUGCAUGAUAUAAAGGAGAUGUGCUGCAUAUAUAUUAAUGGUGGGAAUUGCAUUUUCCAUAUUGCUGAUAGCUACUGUAACUGAAUAAGUUCUAACAUAUGACUCAUGCAAUAUAUCUUUAAACUCACAUAUAAUCAUUUUUAUUUAUCAAUACAUUUUAUAACAUAUUGAAAUAUGUGCGAGUAAAUCCAUAUAAUGGACACACAGAUUUUAUUUUCAUCUCCUUCCCUCAGUUUUAGGAUUUUCCCAUUGCCAGGUUUUUCAGCCUCGUCAGAUCAGUGUGAACGAAGGAGAUCCAUUCAGUAUCUACUGUUAUCAAAAUGCUACUAGCAAAGACACAAUGUUCUGGUAUAAAAAGCCCCUGGAUAAAGGAUUGCAGAUUCUUGAGAGCGGAUUUGAUGGCACUAAAGCGGCUGGUGCACUACUGUUCACAUUUAACUCUAAUGACAGGUCCACAGAGUUGAAGAAGACCCAGGCAGAGCCUAAAGAUGCUGCCACAUAUUACUGUGCAGUUAGAGA
Molecule: non-coding RNA, 736 nt
Organism: Pelobates cultripes (western spadefoot toad)
Lineage: Eukaryota; Metazoa; Chordata; Amphibia; Anura; Pelobatidae
Source: the annotation of a GenBank genome assembly